CCAGCGGUUUCUUUCAAAACCACCGAAAAUUAUUAAAAAGAAUUCCU
This is a non-coding RNA of Vigna radiata var. radiata (mung bean), 47 nucleotides long. The record is from Rfam. NCBI's taxonomy places the organism in Eukaryota, Viridiplantae, Streptophyta, Magnoliopsida, Fabales, Fabaceae.